Molecule: ribosomal RNA, 447 nt
Filed under: uncultured bacterium
Lineage: Bacteria
Description: bacterial SSU rRNA
Rfam family: Bacterial small subunit ribosomal RNA
Source: RNAcentral
UCGGGAAUUUUGGGCAAUGGGGGAAACCCUGACCCAGCAACGCCGCGUGAAGGAUGAAGUAUUUCGGUAUGUAAACUUCGAAAGAAUAGGAAGAAUAAAUGACGGUACUAUUUAUAAGGUCCGGCUAACUACGUGCCAGCAGCCGCGGUAAUACGUAGGGACCAAGCGUUGUUCGGAUUUACUGGGCGUAAAGGGCGCGUAGGCGGCAUGACAAGUCACUUGUGAAAUCUCUGGGCUUAACCCAGAACGGCCAAGUGAUACUGUCACACUAGAGUACAGAAGGGGCAAUCGGAAUUCUUGGUGUAGCGGUGAAAUGCGUAGAUAUCAAGAGGAACACCUGAGGCGAAGGCGGGUUGCUGGGCUGAUACUGACACUGAGGCGCGAAAGCGUGGGGAGCAAACAGGAUUAGAUACCCAUGUAGUCCCUGAGCGGGCUGGCAAGGCGCAU